Octodon degus (degu) is the source of this 135-nucleotide long non-coding RNA. RefSeq lists it as uncharacterized. The record is from RefSeq and is a predicted model, not a curated record. The transcript has 3 exons. NCBI's taxonomy places the organism in Eukaryota, Metazoa, Chordata, Mammalia, Rodentia, Octodontidae.
AGGUGAGGGACCGAAGCCGCAGGGGCCAGAAAUGCAUUAACAGUGCCUGCUGGUUGCCAAUCAAUUGUGGAGUGAAGAGGAAGGAGCAUUUAUAGGUCACAGGCCGGCCUAGGCAGCCCUCAGCUCUGCAGGGCC